This 22-nucleotide microRNA is filed under the name Equus caballus (horse). RNAcentral describes it as "eca-miR-7177b". The record is from miRBase by way of RNAcentral. Lineage: Eukaryota; Metazoa; Chordata; Mammalia; Perissodactyla; Equidae.
AAAUGGUCCCCUAGUGCUCUGG